CAGAAUAACGCAGCAAAUUCCCAGAAGCAUCCUUCCCGGAGGAGUGAACUGAAGAGGUUCUACACCAUUGGCAGCCAAGACUGUUAAGCUAAAAUGUGGCGGAAAUAAACACGCACAGUCCUGAAGUGGAGUACUAGUCAAGUCAAAUGCCACUCGUGUUGGUGACAGACCCCCCCCAUCUGAAGUGGAAUCUUUGUUGUGACUGGUUUUAUUUGUUUGAAGAGAAAGGUCUCCGUCUCAAUAAAGAAUGAAACAUCAAUAAGGAAUAAUUUAAACAUAACUAACACAGAAACUGGAUUGAAAAUUGAAGACCCAUUGGCAAACUACAGUACAUUGAAACAUUCCCCUCAGUGAUUUGAAGACAGAUGUAACUGACUUGGAAUUCUGGCUUUGCCACUGAUUAGAUUUUGUACCUGGUGAAGAAGUCAUUUCAUACCUCUCAAUGCCCAUUUCCUCACGUUCAGAGUGGGAAUAACAGUCACGUCAUAAGAUUGUAUGAAAAUUAUAUGAGAGAUGAGUUCCCGUUUCUAGGACAUGUACUAGGGAAAAGCUUGUUUCCUUCUUGAGCAGUCUAUUCUAGGAAGUAAAAACUCAUAGCCCUUUUGUAUCAGUUAGCUACUGAUGCAUAACAAACCAACUCAAAAGCCAGUAGCUUCAAUGAACAACCCUUUUAAAAACAAUAAUAGUAACCAUUUAUUAAGCUAGCUCACAAUCCUUAGAGUUGGCAACUUAGGUAACACUGAGUUGGGUGAUUAUUCAGGCCUCAUCUUGGCUCCCCUGCUUCAUAUGCUCCUAGAGUUGGCUCAAUCAAAAGAAUUGAUUUUUAUGAAUGUUUACAUAUUUUAGCCCUAUUCAAAAUAACGAUAUUUGAAAUAUUUAACAGCCACUUUGGCAGAAGCUUGGACCAAUCAGGUGCAAUUGCAGGGCUGGAUGCCCUCUGCCCAGUGGUUGUUAAUCCCUAGGUUCCUGGGUCAUCCAUUGGUCUGAGGGGUCAAAUGGGGGACCCUGGACAGUGAGGGAGAGGGCUAUCUAGAGGGAUGGUGCAGUAGCUGUUUAUCAACUAAUACAAAAGUGUUUCUGAUACAUAUUGGCUGAAUGUUAGCCCAGUCCCAUACUCAUUAUAAUCUUUCCAAAAACAAACAAACAAGCAAACAAAAAACAAAAAAGUAGUUCCCGUUGUGGCUCAGCAGUUAAUGAACCUGACUAGUAUCCAUGAGGAUGCAGGUUCGAUCCCUGGCCUUGCUCAGCAGGUUAAGGAUCUGACAUUCCCAUGAGCUGUGGUGUAAGUCGCGGGCACAGCUCGGAUCCCAUGUUGCUGUGGCUCUGGUGUAGGCCAGCAGCUAUAGCUCCAGUUGGACCCCUAGCCUGGGACCCUCCAUAUGCUGCAAGUGCGGCCCUAAAAAGACAAUAAUAAUAAUAGUAAUCUUCUUUCUGUCCAUGUUGCACCAAGUCUCUUGAUAUCUUAUCACUAACAUACUUUACAUUGCAAUUAGCACUGCUGCCCCCUACAUCUUGGCGUUAAAAAUACUGCUUCUACCAACAUGUCUCUCCAACUGUCCCCUCCCAAAUUCCAAUAAACCUACAUCAAGAACAAACACAGAGUUUAUAAAUACCUCUUAGAAAUAGGGCAAUAAGGAGUUCCCGUCGUGACGGAGUGGUUAACGAAUCUGACGAGGAAGCAUGAGGUUGCAGGUUUGGUCCCUGGCCUUGCUCAGUGGGUUAAGGAUCCAGCAUUGCCAUGAGCUGUGGUGUAGGUCGCAGACACACCUCGGAUCCCAUGUUGCUAGGGCUCUGGUGUAGGCUGGCAUCUAUAGCUCCAGUUGGACCCCUAGCCUGGGAAGCUCCAUAUGGUAAGGGAGCAGCCCUAGAAAAUGCAAAAGACAAAACAAAAGAAAUAGGGCAAUGAUUCUUAAUUGGGGAAAAGAUGGCAGUAACUGGUAGCUUGGAAAAACAUACUGAGUUUUCCAAUAUUGUAACAAUCGUAUUACAAAAAGCUCAAUUAUGUUUAUCUUCUACCAUAAUAGAAAAUAAGAGUAAAGUUGGUAGAGAUUUGCCCGAAUACCAUUCUCAAAGUCUGAAGAGAGGCAUGCCCCAUUUCAGAAGGCAUCCUUGAUUAAAAACAUUGAGAAAUAUGAAACUCAACAUGAAACUAAAUGUAAUGUGGAGAAAGCCUGAAUCUCUGGGAUGGAAGUCAGGAGUUUGUAUUUUAAGCAAAUAAUUCUUACUGGCAUUAAAGUUGAAAUCUCAUCAGCUACCAAUGGUCUGCUGUAUUGAGGAGAUACAGUUGUAAAAGGGCACUAACCUGAUUAACAGGGAUGUCAGCUUACUAAGGCAAGUUUGAGAUAGCCACUGGAUACAGAACACUGUCCCAUAAGCUGGCUCGGGUCUUUCUUCUAAGCUCUUUUUGUAUAACCCCAACUGUAAACCUGCUCUGAUGGCACUGAUGCUCCAAGAGAUCAUUUUACCUGUUUGGGAGUUGUGUACAGCUGGCCAAGGUUGAUCAUGGCAGGCAUCCAGAGGUAGUUUCUAACCUUGACAGAUAACCUGUAGAGCUCUGUUGAAGUCCCUGCAUGUCCUGGAAGCCCCAUCUGCUGAGCAGGGCUGUCAGCCUAAGUGGCCUGGUCUCCAGAUGGUAUUAAAGUCACUGGCUACUUGCUAAGCAUCAUGGCAAGUAGAUCCCACCCUCUGAUCAAACCAUUCUCUCCAGCCCAUCUCAUUUUUAUUCGAUUUGCUGCAACACAGUUAGGAACUUUUUUGUUUUACCUGUCAUGAGGUUAUUUUGUUUUCACACUCUCUGUAUUUCAUUAGGUGCAGGAAAAAGAAACCAGAGGGAAUUUGGUCUUUUAUAAAUGCUUUCUAUGCAUGUAGAGAUAUCUGUAAUGUUGAAUUUAUUUAGAUUCAAGACAGGUGGAUCAGAUACUUCAGGUGAAUUCCUCGGAUUUUAAAAAGAUUACUCAUGGUUUCACCAGAUGCUGUGCAAUUUCAUAAGCACUGGAUGCUUUAGAAAGACACUGACUCAAAAAGGAGAGAUACUUAGUUUGAUGCCAUGACUUUUGUUUGGUGCUUACAUCAGUGAGGAAAAAAAGUUAAAAUACAUUUUUUAUCCUCAUCUGAAUACAUUUUUUAGCCUCAUCUGUUGACAGGGUUUUCUGUGAGCUGACUGCCAGAUAAUUAACCAAGUAAAGAGUUAUUUCUCUGAAUUUGGUCUGCCAAAAUUCAUUGUAACACCAAAUACAGAUGCUGUUAAAAUAGGUAACGUUGGGAAACUCUUGUUAGCCUGUCAAAACAGUAAAUAUAUUACAUAAUUUGAAAGCCAUCUCUUAUUAUGCAUCCCUUCAAAACACAAGUAUUCAGGGAGAGUUGAUGAUAAUAAUGAAAAUCAAAGUAAAGGUAAUGAAAACAAAAUAAUUUCUUAAAAUAAUUUUUGUGACUUUCCAUUCCAGUUGCUAAUAAAUACAGAAUGUAUUUAAUUAAAAUGUAAAUGCAAUUCACUGCAUGAAGCUAUCUGGAUGAUAUGUGAUCACUGAAUAAUUUGCAAACAGCUACUGAGCAAGGGCCAAAAUAAAAUAGAGUUAUUGCUUAAUGACUCACAU
This 3593-nucleotide long non-coding RNA is filed under the name Sus scrofa (pig). RNAcentral's name for it is "lncRNA (ENSSSCG00045020606.1)". The record is from RNAcentral. Lineage: Eukaryota; Metazoa; Chordata; Mammalia; Artiodactyla; Suidae.